RNAcentral lists this long non-coding RNA (1671 nucleotides) under Canis lupus familiaris (dog). RNAcentral describes it as "lncRNA (ENSCAFG00845010860.1)". Lineage: Eukaryota; Metazoa; Chordata; Mammalia; Carnivora; Canidae. The record is from RNAcentral.
CACAAAUCUGAACUGAGGAUUUCUGGCUCAAGGCCAUGAGCAAGGGCAGAGGCCAUAGGAGAGCAGUAGCAUAGAAACUCUAGAAGCUUCCAGAAAAGCCUACUUGCAAAUGUGGCAGGAGAGAGAGAGCUGCUUGGCUGCCGUCCAUCCAAGUCUUUGCCGGAGCCCGUCGACGAGCUGGGCCGCGACUUCCCAGCGCAGCUGCCUGAGAGGCCGAGAAGACAGCUCCUCGCCCGCUUCGCGUACUGACGCACCCCAAGCGCUGAGCACCGCGCACCAGGCAGGCUCUCGGGCCACACGUGGUGGGCGAGCCCCGGGGUGACCGCGGAGGGAGACAGGGCUGCAUCCCCGGGUGUGUUAAUGAUGCAUUGACUUGAAAGGUAAAUUAAAAAUAAAACAAUGAAAGAGUGGAGAGUAGGAGGGCCUCAGAUUUCUUUCUUUUUUUAAAAGAUUAUUUUUAUUAUUCAUGAAAGACACAGAGAGAGGCAGAGACACAGGCAGAGGGAGAAGCAGGCUCCAUGCAGGGAGCCCCACGUGGGACCCGAUCCCAGGACCCCAGGACUCCAGGAUCAUGCUCCAGGCUGAAGGCAGGAGCUACACCACUGAGCCACCUGGGCUUCCCUGGACCUCAGAUUUCUUUUUUUCUCCAUAUCAGAUUUUACGGAAACGUGUCCAUUUCCAUGACUACGUUUUGUUUACAGAAGGGCUGAAAACGGCAGCUCGGAGUCUCCCCAGGGCGCCGCCACAUGCCCCACAGGAGGGCGGGCCGCCGGGCGCUUCGCCUCCUCAGGCCUGCGGAAGAGCCGCGCAUGCGCACCCGCAGCCGCUCGCGGCCCUUGUCGACGAGAGCGACUUGCCCACGGCGGCCUUGCGGCGCUUUUGGAUGGUCUCGGGCUUACAGCCUUUACCGCCUCUGCUUGCCAGACUUCCAGCUCUUUCUGUGGUCCUGGUCCAUGAACGUUCAUGGAGCUGCACAUCAAUAUCGCGGAUGUUAGAGGUUCAGAGACGAAUGAGCGUCCAUUGUGCUUGUUCUCAGCCUGCAUCAGGAGUCCGACUUGAGAUCCAGCUCAGUCCAGCCACCAGCUAGCCGUGUGACCUUGGGUGUAUUACCUAACUUUUCUCUGCCUGAGACCCCCUGCCCAAGUGGGAAGUGGAAAUUUAACAAGUUUGUUGUGCAAAUUAAAUGGGGCCUGGAAUGUAAAGCCGUUAGCACAGCUCAAAAGAUGUGGGGAGUGAUGAUCUCAUUGUGGUUAGCAUCUGUGGUAGGAUUUCAGCUUUUCAAUGUGGGGUUUUACAAGGAAGCAUUUAUCAUGGUCCUUCGGCCUUCAUUUUCCCAGUGCCAUAAGCGUUGGAGGCAUGCUCCAAUCUUGGAACAGUGGCUUGGCUUUGGAAGCCUUGCAGCUAACUGGCAGACAAUUGGUAAUUCACUAUUUUAAGUUUAGGACACUGGCAGGAGGUCUGAGUUAUGUUAAUUUCAAAGCCCUCUGACAGACAUCAGAUUUUUUUUUUUUUUAUUUUAAGUAGAGUUUGGCACUUAUUCAAAGAGUCAAAAGAAGCUGUGUGGGGAGAUAUCUUGUUUAACAUCUGUCAUUUAACACCACUUGUACCCCAGGGGGAGAAAGGAGAGGGUGCCUGAGAGCUAAAUUUAAGUCUAAGGAUCUAAGCAUUUUU